This 497-nucleotide ribosomal RNA is filed under the name uncultured bacterium. RNAcentral describes it as "partial 16S ribosomal RNA". It matches the Rfam family "Bacterial small subunit ribosomal RNA", at positions 28 to 507 of the family's 1533-position model. The record is from RNAcentral.
GAUGAACGCUGGCGGCGUGCCUAAUACAUGCAAGUCGAGCGAACGGACGAGAAGCUUGCUUCUCUGAUGUUAGCGGCGGACGGGUGAGUAACACGUGGAUAACCUACCUAUAAGACUGGGAUAACUUCGGGAAACCGGAGCUAACACCGGAUGAUAUUUUGAACCGCAUGGUUCAAAAGUGAAAGACGGUCUUGCUGUCACUUAUAGAUGGAUCCGCGCUGCAUUAGCUAGUUGGUAAGGUAACGGCUUACCAAGGCAACGAUGCAUAGCCGACCUGAGAGGGUGGUCGGACACACUGGAACUGAGACACGGUCCACACUCCUACGGGAGGCAGCAGUAGGGAAUCUUCCGCAAUGGGCGAAAGCCUGACGGAGCAACGCCGCGUGAGUGAUGAAGGUCUUCUGAUCGUAAAACUCUGUUAUUAGGGAAGAACAUAUGUGUAAGUAACUGUGCACAUCUUGACGGUACCUAAUCAGAAAGCCACGGCUAACUACGUG